ACAAAGGCUCUUUUAAGAGCCACCCACACCCUUGUUAAAGAGCUGU
Larimichthys crocea (large yellow croaker) is the source of this 46-nucleotide non-coding RNA. The record is from Rfam. NCBI's taxonomy places the organism in Eukaryota, Metazoa, Chordata, Actinopteri, Sciaenidae.